This 241-nucleotide ribosomal RNA is filed under the name uncultured bacterium. RNAcentral describes it as "partial 16S ribosomal RNA". It matches the Rfam family "Bacterial small subunit ribosomal RNA", at positions 14 to 244 of the family's 1533-position model. The record is from RNAcentral.
GACUCCUGGCUCAGGAUGAACGCUAGCUACAGGCUUAACACAUGCAAGUCGAGGGGAAACGACAUCGAAAGCUUGCUUUUGAUGGGCGUCGACCGGCGCACGGGUGAGUAACGCGUAUCCAACCUGCCCACCACUUGGGGAUAACCUUGCGAAAGUAAGACUAAUACCCAAUGACAUCCCACGAAGACAUCUGAAUGGGAUUAAAGAUUUAUCGGUGAUGGAUGGGGAUGCGUCUGAUUAG